Molecule: ribosomal RNA, 253 nt
Filed under: uncultured bacterium
Lineage: Bacteria
Description: partial 16S ribosomal RNA
Rfam family: Bacterial small subunit ribosomal RNA
Source: RNAcentral
UACAGAGGGGGCAAGCGUUGUUCGGAAUUACUGGGCGUAAAGGGCGCGUAGGCGGCCGCCUAAGUCAGACGUGAAAUCCCUCGGCUUAACCGGGGAACUGCGUCUGAUACUGGAUGGCUUGAGUUUGGGAGAGGGACGCGGAAUUCCAGGUGUAGCGGUGAAAUGCGUAGAUAUCUGGAGGAACACCGGUGGCGAAGGCGGCGUCCUGGACCAAUUCUGACGCUGAGGAGCGAAAGCCAGGGGAGCAAACGGG